Molecule: unclassified non-coding RNA, 347 nt
Filed under: Hevea brasiliensis (rubber tree)
Lineage: Eukaryota; Viridiplantae; Streptophyta; Magnoliopsida; Malpighiales; Euphorbiaceae
Source: RNAcentral
UGGUGCUCAUUUUUACUUUAGAUAUUAAUGUUGCAUUUGUGUGUGCUCAUGUUUUGGAGGUCAUGAAUUCAAAUCAAAGGGGGGAAAGCCUUCUUACAAUGUAAGAGAAGGCCCUGAACAGUCCCCCACAAAGCCUGCAGUGUAGGAAGCCUCAUUCAUCUGCAACUGUUUUCUUUGUGUGUAUUAAUGGGUUCUGGUUUGCUUUAUCAUGGAUACAAUAAGAAGGAAGUGAUCCAUAUUUUACAUCCAUAUGAUAUGAGAUAUCAUUGCUUUUGAGGUACCCCUUCAGUUUAAAUAAGAUAAUUAGAAAUUUUUGCAAUUUGAGACAAUGGCUAUUUGACCAUGGA